Molecule: long non-coding RNA, 987 nt
Filed under: Capsella rubella
Lineage: Eukaryota; Viridiplantae; Streptophyta; Magnoliopsida; Brassicales; Brassicaceae
Description: long non-coding RNA (CRUB_LNC001535)
Source: RNAcentral
AAAAACUAGUGUUAAAGACAUGUAAACGCUUUGAUCAUAUCUAGAUUAAACCAUACAACUAUAGAUCAGAACAAUAUCGAACCAAAACACAUCCAAAUCCUGAUUCAAAGCAUGCAAAUCAAACAUCAGAAGAACACACAAGGGAUUUUGAAUCCUAUUUUAACUAAAAACUAAGGAUCCAAAACAAUAUCAAACCAAAACACAUCCAAAUCCUUAUCCUAAAGACUGUUAAUCAACAUAUCUAUACCCUACAACUCUUAACAACUUCAUUCACAAUUAAUUUCCUCAUUCAAACCGUGCAAAUCAAACAUCAGAAGAACACACAAGGGAUUUUGAAUCCAAUUUUAUUUAAAAUACAAACGACCCUAAACAAUAUCAAACCAAAACACAUCCAAAAUCAUGUUAACCUACAUAACUAAACCCUAGAACUCUUAACAUGUACAACUCACUAAAUUUCCUGAAUCAAUACCUACAAAUCAAACAUCCCAACAACACAGGACCGUAUUUAACAAAUAUUUCAUUUUCGAAACUAAAGAUCCAACCAAAUAACCAACCCGCAGAUCUUUAAUCCGUGGCCAAACUAUUGAGAAUGAAGACGGAGGUAACUUUACACUCAACGAAAUAUUCAUCCAACGAACGAACUUCAUAAAAGAAGAAGAAGGAAAAGACGAUUGUUGCAUGUACCUGAACUUGGACGAAUUCAGGUUUGAGAGACGGAACGGAUGAGGAGGAGACGCAACAGAUCCAGAAGACGAAUGGGACUGGAAGGUGACGGAAUACACGGUGGAUGAGCCGGAGAAGACGGCUAGACCUUGUCGGAUCAGACGAAACGGUGGUUCUCUCGUCGCAUCGCGCAGCUAGGGUUCGAGAGAAAGAAGAAACAAUUUGGGGAUUUCUCGAUUUGCUUCACUGGCCAAAAAACAAAUAAUUGUAUGAAAAAAAUAAAAAAUCGACCUAUCACAACUCGCCACGUCGCCUAAGACUCGC